Cyprinus carpio carpio is the source of this 384-nucleotide long non-coding RNA. NCBI's taxonomy places the organism in Eukaryota, Metazoa, Chordata, Actinopteri, Cypriniformes, Cyprinidae. The record is from Ensembl.
UUUUGGCCACUGUCACGCUGGCCUUAGGUGGUCUUAGCUGGUUUUAGCUGGUUUUCUUUACUGAAUCAACUGGUUUUAGCUGGAUUAGAAUAGAAAAAUGUUAACAACAUGCUAGUUACUUGCUUAUCAGACUAGAAACAUACUUCUAACAUGGUUUAAAGUGGUUUUGGCCACUGUCACGCUGGCCUCAGCUGGUCUUAGCUGGUUUUAGCUGGUUUUCUUUACUGAAUCAACUGGUUUUAGCUAGAUUAUCAUAGAAACAUGUUAACAACAUGUUAGUAACUUGAUAAUCAGACUAGAAACAUACUUCUAACAUGGUUUAAAGUGGUUUUGGCCACUGUCACGCUGGCCUUACCUGGUCUUAGCUGGUUUUAGCUGGUUUUC